This is a long non-coding RNA of Camellia sinensis, 1087 nucleotides long. RefSeq lists it as uncharacterized. The record is from RefSeq and is a predicted model, not a curated record. Lineage: Eukaryota; Viridiplantae; Streptophyta; Magnoliopsida; Ericales; Theaceae.
AUUUUUUUUAAAUUAGAAGUUGCAGGUGUAUAUUGUUUCCGUUUAUAUAUUUGUUGUAAAUUGGAGAAAACUUUAUGCGUCCACAGAAUCGAUUUAUACGGUGUAUUUCGUUGAAUCACGAAUUUAUAAACAAAAAAAAACCAAAUCCAAUCUAUAAAUUCAGAUUUCUCGAAUUUCCGAAUCUCGUUGUACACCGCUUGUAGUAGCUACUGGAUAGUCACACAAAUUCUGUGGAAGCAGAGGCGAGGUUUAGUGUUGAAUUUUGGGUUCUCUCUCUCUCUCUCUCUCUCUCUCUCAAUUGAGUUUAGGGCAAACAACGAGGACUACUUACUGGCUGUGCAACCUAAGUGAAAGUAAAUUAUGGGCUAUAUUGUGAUAUCGUUGCCGGUGAUUUUGUUGUUCUUGAUCAUAGCUAUCGCGGCUUACCUUUUCGGUAGGGCCAGAGGUCGUACUGAAGCAACAGGAGUUCCCCAGUAUUAUGGCCCUCCGGCUCCCCCAUUCGGAGUUCAAUCUCAUGACCCCCAGAAAUAGGGUUUGCACAAGUUGAGUAGUUGUAUAUACCUUGAUACGAAAAUGGACUAGUAGCUAGAAAUAAGGUCACAUUUGAUUUGGGAUAAAUGGGCAGAAUAGGACUAUUUCAUCCUGGUAUAAAACUAUUUCCCAUUAGAUUUUAUGACCCAAGGGCCAUUUAUCCUGUAUAUGUGGAUUAUGGGAGCUUCUAUUUGCACACAUAAUAUACACUUUUUGCACAUCCUCUGUACUACACUUUUUGUACAUCCUCUUCAUUAAGUGUGUGUAUAGAGUGCGUAAAUAGAAGCUCCCGUGGAUUAUUGUCCCAGAGAAAAAUUUUAUUGCAAAAUACCUAAAAUAUCCUUGCUGAAAUAUCUUAUCCUACCGCAUCAUCAUAACUGCGAAUCAAACAUAGCCUACCAGAACUUCCUUGUCAUAAUGUAUAGUCUUUGGGGAUUGCAUCAUUGGUGUGUAAUGGACUAGGAUUGUAAUUUAGUGUAAGUUUUUAAAUAAAUUGUAAAUCAGUGAUAAAGUUUACUAUUUAAUAAUUGAAAUGAUCUGCUUUUUCAUGAUUUUA